CGCCGCCAUCCGCAUCGGCCAGAGCGGGGCUGUGAUCUGUGAUCCGUGCACGCCGCGUCACACGGGGGAUUCACCGGCGCAGUCGCAGUCAGAGAACAGCAGCAACAGCAGCAGGCGGAGGUUGAGCUGCAGGAGGUGGGACAGCUGCAGGAGGCGGGACAGCAGCUGCACCUGCAGCGCCGCAGACAGCUGAUCCCCAGGGCCAGACUAGCCACCAGCUGGGCCAGCCGACACCAGCGCCACCACCACCAUCUCCACCACCUGCACGACCAGUACCAGUACCACAUCCAGGGGUGGCCGGAAGCAGAGGAGCGUCGCGCGCCCGUGGACUGGGGCAGCGGCAGGGAC
Molecule: long non-coding RNA, 348 nt
Organism: Schistocerca cancellata (South American locust)
Lineage: Eukaryota; Metazoa; Arthropoda; Insecta; Orthoptera; Acrididae
Exons: 3
Source: RefSeq, a predicted model, not a curated record